UACGGAGGGUGCGAGCGUUGUCCGGAAUCAUUGGGCGUAAAGGGUGCGUAGGUGGGCAAGUAAGUCAGUGGUGAAAUCUCCGGGCUUAACCCGGAAACUGCCAUUGAUACUAUUUGUCUUGAAUACUGUGGAGGUCAGCGGAAUAUGUCAUGUAGCGGUGAAAUGCUUAGAUAUGACAUAGAACACCAAUUGCGAAGGCAGCUGGCUACACAAAUAUUGACACUGAGGCACGAAAGCGUGGGGAUCAAACAGG
Molecule: ribosomal RNA, 253 nt
Filed under: uncultured bacterium
Lineage: Bacteria
Description: partial 16S ribosomal RNA
Rfam family: Bacterial small subunit ribosomal RNA
Source: RNAcentral